GGAAUUGCUGUAAUGGCAGGUCAGCAUACUGCCGUGAAUACGUUCCCGGGCCCUUGUACACACCGCCCGUCACACCAUGAGAGUUGGAAAUACCCGAAGCCUGUGAGCUAACUUAAAGAGGCAGCAGUCGAAGGUAGAGCCAAUGAUUGGGGUGAAGUCGUAACAAGGUACC
RNAcentral lists this ribosomal RNA (172 nucleotides) under uncultured bacterium. RNAcentral's name for it is "partial 16S ribosomal RNA". It matches the Rfam family "Bacterial small subunit ribosomal RNA", at positions 1328 to 1500 of the family's 1533-position model. The record is from RNAcentral.